Molecule: RNA transcript, 2186 nt
Organism: Sapajus apella (tufted capuchin)
Lineage: Eukaryota; Metazoa; Chordata; Mammalia; Primates; Cebidae
Gene name: surfeit locus protein 4-like
Exons: 4
Source: RefSeq, a predicted model, not a curated record
GCCUCCCGGGGUUCAAGCGAUUCUCCUGCCUCAACCUCCCAAGUAGCUGGGAUUACAGUUCCGUGUCACAAAGGAGUACUUGCCCCACGUGGCGCGCCUCUGUCUGAUCAGCACUUUCCUGGAGGACGGCAUCCACAUGUGGUUCCAGUGGAGCGGGCAGCAUGACUACAUCGACACCACCUGGAACUGUGGCUACCUGCUGGCCUGGUCCUUCAUCUUCCUCAACUUGCUGGGACAGCUGACUGGCUGCAGCCUGGUGUUGAACAGGAACUUCGUGCAGUAUGCCUGCUUUGGGCUCUUUGGAAUCAGCUCUGCAGGUACACGGGUGUGCGGUUGGGGCUCCCUUCUCUUUGCUCUGGUGGAGCAGAGCUUCUGAAAAUACAUCCUUGAGGGUUCAGUGUCACUCCCUCUUCAGCCCUCUCCACGUCUCUGACUGCCUGGAGCUCCUUUCUCUUCUGGGGAAGUCGUGAGCCCAAGCAGGGCUGUAGAGGUGGGUCAUUAGGUACGGGGACCUCUUUUGCCCCAUUCCUGUGAUAAUUGUGACAGGGGAAGUCCUGAGAUUGGCUGGGUGAGGAUGCUGUCUUGUUAUCAUGUUGCUUCAUAAAGAAGAAUACCUGGUUAUUCCGAAUGAAAUCCUGGGAACAGAAUAUCUGAAUCCACAUCCGUGGUCUCAAUCACUUUGUUCUCCGGAAUAUCACAGCACAUUUCUUGAGAAAUGCAGAACCACAUUUUUGAGCCUUGGUCUGUGCUAGGUCUUCUGUGUAGGUUUUGUGUGUUUUAGACUGCAGCUGAAAUUGGAGAGACAUUGCUUAAGGCUAUUAUGAAUUCUGUGAAAUGCCUUUGGAAAGGCUGAGACUUAGGUCUCUCUUUUUUCCCCCCAGACAAUUGCCUUCAGCAUUUUAUGGGACUUGAGGUAUUUGAUGAGGCGUGGGACUCAGGGUCUCAGCGGAGGACGUGGCUGCCCACGGGGACCAGGCUGGUCAACACUGAAGCUGUGACUUGGUUCUGCGUGUGUUCAGGUAGUCCAUCUCUGUCAAGUUGUAAAGACACCUCUGUCUCUUGAGCUAUGUAAGGUUUUACAUGGAUGUAACUGCAGCGUCUGAGGUCCUGUGCGCAUGCCUGCCUGGUCCUGCUUCACAGAUUGCUGGGUUUGGAGAAAGGGAAGUAAGGGCCUUCCUAUAUGCGCACCAAGGUCUCCCUGCACCUGGUCUGGCAGGCAGGCCAGAUCCUGGUGAGGCUUUCCUUCAGCGUGCAUAUCUGUUCCUCAGGAACCUGGCCCUGGGAGGAGGCCUGUUGCUGCUCCUAGCAGAAUCUCAUUCUGAAGGGAAGAGCAUGUUCGCAGGCGUCCCCACCAUGCGUGAGAGAGCUCCCCCAAACAGUACAUGCAGCUCGGAGGCAGGAUCUUGCUGGUUCUGAUGUUCAUGACCCUCCUUGACUUUGAUGCCAGCUUCUUUUCUGUAAGUAUUCCUGCUUGUCUGAAUGGGUCUGGUUUUCUGUCCUACUAGAAGGAAUGCUGUGCUUCCCCCAUCCCCUCCCUGUUCACCCCUCCCUGGUUGGGUACUAACCACAGCCUGAGGGAGCUGCUCAAAUGGAGCAAAUCUUUUGAUCCCAUUAAAACAGACCAAAAAAUCAUCAAUCCCUUGUGUGUCAAGCCUUCUUUCCAGCAAGUGAAGGCCAGAGCCUCUAACCUAGGUGGAGUGUGCUUGGCCCUUGGUCGGCCAAGGCUCUCCACCCAAGCUCUUCUUAUAUCUUGGAAGAUGGUGAUAGGGGAACUCCUCCUUUCAGUUACAAAGAACGUUGGCAAAUAGCCUAUUCCUGGUUUUCCUCUUCAAGUAAUACAAAUCCUUAGCAUCAGUCAUGUAAUGACUGGCAACCUGUGGCUACCUGGCUUAUCUGUGCAGGGGUCCUGUGCUGCAUUCGUAGUCACUUAAACUGCCAGGCACAAGUUCAGGAUUGUUCUUUGCAAAUCAGUCAGUGAAUCUUCUGUAGAAAUAGAAUUCUGGAGAUCCUACUGAAGACACUCCUGUGCUUGACCUCCAUUUCAUGUUAGAACACAGCUUGACUAGCAUGUUAACUGAAUCACAUGUUUCCAUAACUGUCAGAGGAUGGAUGGAUAUUCCAGGAAGCAGAUCCUCAGAUGGAGGUGAGCCUCAGGAAGCUAACCAGGGUUCCAUACUUGUGAGAAA